AUGGGCGAACGGAAAGAAGCAGCGGUGCCGGGCGUGGCCUAUGAGGGAGGAGGCAGCGGCGACAGUGGAUCGAGCUCAUGCAAACGCGCAGCUGCUGUUUGCAAAAUCAGCAAGCGCAGCCAGCAGGGAAUCUUUAAAAAGAUGAAGCCAAUUGCUGCUUAUUUUGCAACUCCACCAUCUAAUGAAUCUCAAGCUCAUGUUCAUGUUCAUGUUCCUGAACCUGAUGCAAACAUUUUAUCCACUGAAGCCUCAGAUGCAAACAUUGUAGAAGAUCUAGUUCCUGAACAUGAAGUGUAUAAUGAGGGCUCUCAUGAUAACACUUUGCAAACUUCUAUUCUAGGAUUUAGUCCAACUCACAUUGAACCUGAUCCUGGACUCCGGAAACAAAUUGGAGAUUAUCCUACUCCAGAAAUCAGAGAUGCAGUGAGGAGGGAGUAUUUGAAGAAAGGUCCAUGUCAGCCGUAUGGGCAUGAUUUUCCUCGCAACACUACAGAUAAAAGGGUAUUCAGAGAGGAGUGGUUUGACGAGUCUGAUGUUUUUUGCAGUUGUGGCAGUCUUGCUAAUCUUGCUCUCAAGUUGGUUGAAACUAAGGAACAUUUACACUUUCCUUUGGUUUACCGACUCAUCACACUUGCUUUGACUUUGCCAGUAGCGACGGCAUCUGUUGAAAGAGUUUUCUCAGCCAUGAAUAUCAUUAAGACAGAUUUGAGAAAUAAGAUAUCUGAUGAUUGGUUGAAUGAUCUGAUGAUAUGCUAUGUAGAGCGAGAUAUAUUUGCUGGAAUUGAUGACAAGAAGAUCAUAGAACAUUUUCACAGCUUGAGAGACCGUAGAGGCCAUCUACCAAACCCUCCCCGUAUACUUACGACUUAG
RNAcentral lists this ribosomal RNA (870 nucleotides) under Triticum aestivum (bread wheat). Its description in RNAcentral is "partial small subunit ribosomal RNA". The record is from RNAcentral. Lineage: Eukaryota; Viridiplantae; Streptophyta; Magnoliopsida; Poales; Poaceae.